UCCGGUGACCAUGGCGAGGGGGAAACACCCGUUCCCAUUCCGAACACGGAAGUUAAGCCCCUCAGCGGCGAUGGUACUGCCCCGGAAGGGGGUGGGAGAGUAGCACGUUGCCGGGA
RNAcentral lists this ribosomal RNA (116 nucleotides) under Verrucomicrobiota bacterium. The record is from RNAcentral. Lineage: Bacteria; Pseudomonadati; Verrucomicrobiota.